ACCCGGACGAAGAGUCCCAAAUAGGACGAAAUGCGCAUCCUAGAU
RNAcentral lists this non-coding RNA (45 nucleotides) under Trichobilharzia regenti. The record is from RNAcentral. Lineage: Eukaryota; Metazoa; Platyhelminthes; Trematoda; Strigeidida; Schistosomatidae.